CUCUAGCCAAUUAAGCCAGCAGAUUCCCUCCCUCACAGGGGCCUUUGGUGCACAGUGGCUGUAAGCAGCCAUCUUCUUGGUAGUGUCCACAGCCUGUUGCUUGUGAGGGCUGCACUAAGGACCUAGGAGACCAAU
Molecule: small nucleolar RNA, 135 nt
Organism: Meriones unguiculatus (Mongolian gerbil)
Lineage: Eukaryota; Metazoa; Chordata; Mammalia; Rodentia; Muridae
Gene: SNORA70
Rfam family: Small nucleolar RNA SNORA70
About the family: snoRNA U70 seems to be exclusive to mammals and is a member of the H/ACA class of snoRNA which contain H (ANANNA) and ACA box motifs. H/ACA box snoRNAs are involved in the conversion of uridines to pseudouridines (5-ribosyluracil) a constituent of structural RNAs (transfer, ribosomal, small nuclear, and small nucleolar).
Source: Ensembl